RNAcentral lists this long non-coding RNA (544 nucleotides) under Manihot esculenta (cassava). RNAcentral describes it as "long non-coding RNA (MESC_LNC008464)". The record is from RNAcentral. Lineage: Eukaryota; Viridiplantae; Streptophyta; Magnoliopsida; Malpighiales; Euphorbiaceae.
AAGCCCAAAAAUUAUAUUGCAUAGAUUUAGGAAAAAAAAUGAAACCUGGGAAAUUGCAAAUUCCAAUGCUUUUUUAAUUUACCUCGUUCACUUUUCUGUAGCUUUAUUUGAUUUGCAUGGGAAUGGGAGAAUGAGCAUGCAUUUUAGCUUUCAUACUGAGAGACUAAAAGCUGAGUUGUUCUGUAGCUUUAUUUGUUUUGAUUCUUACCAUGGUUUUGACAGAAUUUCGAAACAUUGAUAGUCUCUGCUUGAUCAAAAUCUCUCAGAAGUAUUUAAGGUUCUCCCCUCCCAGAUCUCAGUGGAAUCUUCAUCUAUCUUAGAUUUUGCAUUAUUACAAUUGAAAUUUAUGAACUUUUUGCCUGUUGUGUUUUUGAGUUUGACUUCAUUCUUUUAUCAACUAUCUUUUCCAGUUCCACUUGCUGCCAUUACUUCUUUACUAGGACUUGUGUCUCUCAACAGUGAAGAUGUUAUCCAGAGUGAUUUGAGCUUCCAGAAGUUGUAAGUCGAUCUGUUUUUCUGAUCUUAUAAAAAUUUGGGUUUUCUU